RNAcentral lists this ribosomal RNA (564 nucleotides) under Triticum aestivum (bread wheat). Its description in RNAcentral is "partial small subunit ribosomal RNA". The record is from RNAcentral. Lineage: Eukaryota; Viridiplantae; Streptophyta; Magnoliopsida; Poales; Poaceae.
AUGAAAUAUCUCUAUGAAUUGGAAGAGUGCAGGCCGAAGAAGCCAACAGUUACUUCUGCCAGUCCGGUUAGAGCGAAACCCAAGUGGAUUCCACCACCUUCAGGGGUGUUUAAGGUUAGAGUAGAUGGGGCGGUGGCUCGGUCAUGUAAUGAAGGAGCCUAUAGUGCUGUUUGCAGGAACUCGGAGGGCACGUACAUGGGAGCCUCGGCAAUCAGAUGCAUCAGUGUUACUGAUCCAGCAACCCUUGAAGCACUUGGGUGUCGAGAGGCGCUGGCCUUGGCUAAUGAUCUUGGUUUAACACAUGUUAUCAUCGCGUCUAACUGCCAAGGAGUGGUGUGCGACAUCUCGCAUGGCAUAGGAGGAAUGUACGCAAGCAUUGUGAAGGAAAUUACAGCUACGGCGGCACAAUUUCUGCAAUGUACAUUCAUCUUCGAAGGGAGUGACUCGCAUCAAGAGGCUCAUAGCCUCGCCAAACAUGCUUUCGGUCUAGGUUUGGGGCGCCACGUGUGGCCUAUAAACCCCCCAUCUUUGAAUUGUAUUCCUAUGAACAUUUCUGUUGAAUAA